Molecule: ribosomal RNA, 741 nt
Filed under: Dinophilus gyrociliatus
Lineage: Eukaryota; Metazoa; Annelida; Polychaeta; Dinophilidae
Description: 12S ribosomal RNA
Source: RNAcentral
AAAUUAUUUGAUUUUAGUAAAAAAAAUUAGCUGUAUCUAAUCAUAUCACAUGUUAUACAUUAAUACCCACCUAAACAACUCUUUCCAAUUUUAAUAAUAAUAAAAGAACGGUGCCAACAGUGUAGAAUUUUGGAUUGAACCAGACAAGAUACUUAAAAUUGGCCAAAAUUGUGCCAGCAGCCGCGGUUAUACAAUAGAUUUAAGCUAAUUCUAAACAUCAUGAAAUAUUAAUAAAAUUCUAAAAAGCACUUAGAUAAAAUAUAAAAUAAAAAACCAAAAAAGAAAACCCAUAUUUCAAAAAGUAGGGACAAAAACAAGGAUUAGAUACCCUUCUAUCCCCUACCGAAUUUAGAGCACUAUGCAAAGAAACUCAAAAAAUUUGGCGGUAUCUUAAACUCCUAAGGGAACCUGUCCUUUAAUUUGAUAAUCCACGAUUAUAUUUUUACCUUUCCUUGAAAAUUCAUCCUAUAUAUUGCCGUCUCCAGCUUAUUACCAAAUAAAAAGAAAUUAGCUUUUAAACAAUCACGUCAGGUCAAAAUGUAGACUAUGGAAAGGAAGAGAUGGGUUACAAUCUUCAUAAAGAUACGAAUUUCCUAGAAAUGAAGGUGGACCUAGUAGUAAUUACACCUAUAAAUGUAAUAAACAAUUACUUAAGAUAUGCACACAUCGCCCGUCACUCUCGUUGAAAAAUGAGAUAAGUCGUAACAAAGUAGAUGCAACGGAAGCUGUAUCUCGAGAUAU